AUGAACGCUGGCGGCGUGCCUAAUACAUGCAAGUCGAGCGAACGGACGAGAAGCUUGCUUCUCUGAUGUUAGCGGCGGACGGGUGAGUAACACGUGGAUAACCUACCUAUAAGACUGGGAUAACUUCGGGAAACCGGAGCUAAUACCGGAUGAUAUUUUGAACCGCAUGGUUCAAAAGUGAAAGACGGUCUUGCUGUCACUUAUAGAUGGAUCCGCGCUGCAUUAGCUAGUUGGUAAGGUAACGGCUUACCAAGGCAACGAUGCAUAGCCGACCUGGGAGGGUGAUCGGCCACACUGGAACUGAGACACGGUCCAGACUCCUACGGGAGGCAGCAGUAGGGAAUCUUCCGCAAUGGGCGAAAGCCUGACGGAGCAACGCCGCGUGAGUGAUGAAGGUCUUCGGAUCGUAAAACUCUGUUAUUAGGGAAGAACAUAUGUGUAAGUAACUGUGCACAUCUUGACGGUACCUAAUCAGAAAGCCACGGCUAACUACGUG
Molecule: ribosomal RNA, 496 nt
Filed under: uncultured bacterium
Lineage: Bacteria
Description: partial 16S ribosomal RNA
Rfam family: Bacterial small subunit ribosomal RNA
Source: RNAcentral